UAUCUUCUCAUUCGCUUCCAUAGAGAUAGGCCCAGGCAUUUCCGCACGCGCCGCUAGCCCACAACCAUGACCUCCCCCGCGCCGGCGCCGGCCCCGGCCAUCGCUUCAUACUCAGCAGUCGGAUUGGCCGAUUUGACGUGCGUCAUAAAGCAAUUGGUAAAUUCAGAGUAGACCAAUUAUAACGGUUGAAUUGAUCGAACCGGCUAUGAAGACCUAUCACAUGACUGUGAAAAGUCCUGAAAGAAGUUCACCUUGUCAGAAAAUAUGAAUUUUCAGGUAUCGACUUAGAGAAAGUCGAUUUCUCUCCAAAGGAUCAAAAUUGUUGCAACUCGUGGCACUUUUCUUUACACAUGCUGGCCAGCCAAUUCUAUUAUUUAUAAACCUCGAUGAUGAUGUCAUGUGAGGAAUAAUACUAGUAAUGUAGUAUAUCUGGUACUGGUUACCUCAUUCAUUCACAUUAGUUACUUGGCUUAUUUCAAGACUCUGCAUACUUUGUCAAUGUUAUGACUUUUGAUGUUUGUGUAAUAACAGUCAGAUUUUUUGGUAAAAUAAUAGACAAUAUUCAUUUUUCAUGAG
This is a long non-coding RNA of Erythranthe guttata (spotted monkey flower), 576 nucleotides long. RefSeq lists it as uncharacterized. The record is from RefSeq and is a predicted model, not a curated record. NCBI's taxonomy places the organism in Eukaryota, Viridiplantae, Streptophyta, Magnoliopsida, Lamiales, Phrymaceae.